GAUGAACGCUAGCUACAGGCUUAACACAUGCCAGUCGAGGGGCAGCAUGGUCUUAGCUUGCUAAGGCCGAUGGCGACCGGCGCACGGGUGAGUAACACGUAUCCAACCUGCCGUCUACUCUUGGACAGCCUUCUGAAAGGAAGAUUAAUACAAGAUGGCAUCAUGAGUCCGCAUGUUCACAUGAUUAAAGGUAUUCCGGUAGACGAUGGGGAUGCGUUCCAUUAGAUAGUAGGCGGGGUAACGGCCCACCUAGUCUUCGAUGGAUAGGGGUUCUGAGAGGAAGGUCCCCCACAUUGGAACUGAGACACGGUCCAAACUCCUACGGGAGGCAGCAGUGAGGAAUAUUGGUCAAUGGGCGCAGGCCUGAACCAGCCAAGUAGCGUGAAGGAUGACUGCCCUAUGGGUUGUAAACUUCUUUUAUAAAGGAAUAAAGUCGGGUAUGUAUACCCGUUUGCAUGUACUUUAUGAAUAAGGAUCGGCUAACUCCGUG
RNAcentral lists this ribosomal RNA (490 nucleotides) under uncultured bacterium. Its description in RNAcentral is "partial 16S ribosomal RNA". It matches the Rfam family "Bacterial small subunit ribosomal RNA", at positions 28 to 507 of the family's 1533-position model. The record is from RNAcentral.